RNAcentral lists this unclassified non-coding RNA (154 nucleotides) under uncultured Herpotrichiellaceae. RNAcentral describes it as "sequence contains ITS2". The record is from RNAcentral. Lineage: Eukaryota; Fungi; Ascomycota; Eurotiomycetes; Chaetothyriales; Herpotrichiellaceae.
UCACGGUAUCAAGCUUGGCUUGGUGUUGGGCCCUUUGUCACCUGGUGACAGGUCUGAAAGACAAUGACUGGCGUAACAGACUCCAUAUGCAACGAGCUUAUAACAGCAUGCAUUUGGCAGUUGUGUGACCCGGUCUUCACCCUUUCUUUCUCAA